RNAcentral lists this ribosomal RNA (387 nucleotides) under uncultured bacterium. RNAcentral describes it as "bacterial SSU rRNA". It matches the Rfam family "Bacterial small subunit ribosomal RNA", at positions 28 to 412 of the family's 1533-position model. The record is from RNAcentral.
GACGAACGUUGGCGGCGUGCUUAAUACAUGCAAGUCAACUGAAGCAGAGGUAGUAAUAUCUCUGUGGAGGUGGCGCACGGGUGAGUAACACGUAGGUAAUCUGCCUUCAGGUCUGACAUAACCCCGAGAAAUCGGGGCUAAUAGCAGAUGAUGCAGCGGCUUGACAUCAAGACAGUUGUUAAAGCUUCGGCGCCUGAAGAUGAGCCUGCGUCUGAUUAGCUAGUUGGCGGAGUAACAGCCCACCAAGGCUACGAUCAGUAGCUGGUCUGAGAGGAUGAUCAGCCACACUGGAACUGAGACACGGUCCAGACUCCUACGGGAGCAGCAGUAAGGAAUAUUGCUCAAUGGAAGAAAUCCUGAAGACAGCAACGCCGCGUGAGGGAUGAA